UACGGAGGGGGCUAGCGUUGUUCGGAAUUACUGGGCGUAAAGGGCGCGUAGGCGGCCCGCUAAGUCGAACGUGAAAUCCCUGGGCUCAACCCAGGAACUGCGUCCGAUACGGGCAGGCUCGAGUUCGGUAGGGGAGACUGGAAUUCCUGGUGUAGCGGUGAAAUGCGCAGAUAUCAGGAGGAACACCGGUGGCGAAGGCGGGUCUCUGGGCCGAUACUGACGCUGAGGAGCGAAAGCGUGGGGAGCAAACGGG
RNAcentral lists this ribosomal RNA (253 nucleotides) under uncultured bacterium. RNAcentral's name for it is "partial 16S ribosomal RNA". It matches the Rfam family "Bacterial small subunit ribosomal RNA", at positions 524 to 776 of the family's 1533-position model. The record is from RNAcentral.